Molecule: long non-coding RNA, 318 nt
Filed under: Solanum lycopersicum (tomato)
Lineage: Eukaryota; Viridiplantae; Streptophyta; Magnoliopsida; Solanales; Solanaceae
Description: long non-coding RNA (SLYC_LNC001265)
Source: RNAcentral
CACGGUGUAAACCGUGUAUUCCUCCGGUUUGAGCUGCCUCGCACGCGUGACAGCUAGCCACACGUGCGCGGAGAGGGAUUGGAAAGUAGAGAACGGCGUCGUAUUAUUUGCGCCUUCUCCUGGGUUAGUAUUGACUUUUGACUUGAUUUGAUCAAUUGCUGAUUCGGAAAACUUGAACACCCUGUCACGCAUAGGUGGAUCCACGCUGGCGCUAACGUCGCCGUUCGUUUCCGACUUGGCAUGUUCCGGCGCGUCGGAUGGCUUAGAUAGGUUGAGUUUGACUCGAGUGUCACGAGCUUUAGUUCUUUCGAGGAAAGG